Marmota monax (woodchuck) is the source of this 607-nucleotide long non-coding RNA. RefSeq lists it as uncharacterized. NCBI's taxonomy places the organism in Eukaryota, Metazoa, Chordata, Mammalia, Rodentia, Sciuridae. The transcript is spliced from 3 exons. The record is from RefSeq and is a predicted model, not a curated record.
UGCAAAGAGUCUCCCUGCUUGAGGGACAAGCAAAGCAAAGACGUAACCCCUCAAAAGAGACAGGAAAAUGAUGCCUUCAGAGCCAGAGAGGAUGGCAAGAGAGGAAGAGAAUUCCUUAGAAGAUAAAACAUACGGACAGAAGAUCUCUUAACCCAAGAGCGAACCCCCCACUCCCAGGACAGGAAGACUGGUUGUGGUUGGCCACACCCCAGAACUGGAUCUAACACCUCAGGCCCUGUCACUUGCUGGUUCCUUCCUGGUUGACUGACAGUAAGCAGAGGGGCAACUCUCUCUUCUGUCCUUAGACCCAAGCAGGAGAAAUUCUGCUCUUCCUCCCACCACCACACUAGGAUUGGCUUUUAAGCUCCUGGACGGAGUGUGGCUUCAGAGUCAAACUGUUUUGCAGUGCUGGGGAUUAGAACCUGGGUAUCAAUUUGCUAAGCAAGUGCUCUACCACUAUGCUACAUCUCCAGGCCUGAAGGAGAACUGGAAAUAAGUGACAUAAUGAGGAGGGGGAGAAGAAAAGAAUGUUCUAGGCAGAGUGGACCACCAUGAGCAAAGGUGCAUUGGCAAAAAAUGGCAGGAUACACCUGGGGAUAUCAAGCAA